Molecule: small RNA, 100 nt
Filed under: Paenibacillus sp.
Lineage: Bacteria; Bacillati; Bacillota; Bacilli; Caryophanales; Paenibacillaceae
Also listed under: 1 other name
Description: Guanidine-I sequence
Rfam family: Guanidine-I riboswitch aptamer
About the family: This family represents a conserved RNA structure found upstream of the ykkC and yxkD genes in Bacillus subtilis and related genes in other bacteria.
Source: RNAcentral
AAUAAUGUUAUCUAGGGUUCCGCGAUUGAUAAAUCGGCUGGUCCGAGAGAUAACUCACGGCCGGUAGGUCGUGUCACGGAGGGAUAAAAGCCCGGGAGAU